This 301-nucleotide ribosomal RNA is filed under the name uncultured bacterium. RNAcentral describes it as "partial 16S ribosomal RNA". It matches the Rfam family "Bacterial small subunit ribosomal RNA", at positions 509 to 807 of the family's 1533-position model. The record is from RNAcentral.
CAGUCGCCGCGGGAAAACGUAGGUGGCAAGCGUUGUCCGGAAUUAUUGGGCGUAAAGGGCUCGCAGGCGGUUUCUUAAGUCUGAUGUGAAAGCCCCCGGCUCAACCGGGGAGGGUCAUUGGAAACUGGGAAACUUGAGUGCAGAAGAGGAGAGUGGAAUUCCACGUGUAGCGGUGAAAUGCGUAGAGAUGUGGAGGAACACCAGUGGCGAAGGCGACUCUCUGGUCUGUAACUGACGCUGAGGCUUGAAAGCGUGGGGAGCAAACAGGAUUAGAUACCCCUGUAGUCCCUGUCUCUUAUAC